This 82-nucleotide transfer RNA is filed under the name Candidatus Criblamydia sequanensis CRIB-18. RNAcentral's name for it is "Criblamydia sequanensis CRIB-18 tRNA". It matches the Rfam family "tRNA". Rfam says of the family: Transfer RNA (tRNA) molecules are approximately 80 nucleotides in length. Their secondary structure includes four short double-helical elements and three loops (D, anti-codon, and T loops). The record is from Rfam by way of RNAcentral. Lineage: Bacteria; Pseudomonadati; Chlamydiota; Chlamydiia; Parachlamydiales; Candidatus Criblamydiaceae.
GCGAAAGUGGCGAAAUGGCAGACGCACUACCUUGAGGUGGUAGCGAGGUUUCCUCAUGGGGGUUCAAGUCCCCCCUUUCGCA